RNAcentral lists this ribosomal RNA (253 nucleotides) under uncultured bacterium. Its description in RNAcentral is "partial 16S ribosomal RNA". It matches the Rfam family "Bacterial small subunit ribosomal RNA", at positions 524 to 776 of the family's 1533-position model. The record is from RNAcentral.
UACGUAGGGUGCGAGCGUUAAUCGGAAUUACUGGGCGUAAAGCGUGCGCAGGCGGUUCGUUGUGUCUGAUGUGAAAGCCCCGGGCUCAACCUGGGAAUGGCGAUGGAUACUGGCGGGCUAGAGUGCGGUAGAGGAGAGUGGAAUUCCCGGUGUAGCAGUGAAAUGCGUAGAGAUCGGGAGGAACAUCAGUUGCGAAGGCGGCUCUCUGGACCAGCACUGACACUGAGGCACGAAAGCGUGGGGAGCAAACAGG